Molecule: ribosomal RNA, 425 nt
Filed under: uncultured bacterium
Lineage: Bacteria
Description: bacterial SSU rRNA
Rfam family: Bacterial small subunit ribosomal RNA
Source: RNAcentral
GGAAUAUUGCGCAAUGGACGAAAGUCUGACGCAGCGACGCCGCGUGUGGGAGGAGGCCUUUCGGGGUGUAAACCACUGUCAGGAGGGAAGAACACCACCAGUUCGAACAGGGCUGGUGGUUGACGGUACCUCCAGAGGAAGCGCCGGCUAACUCCGUGCCAGCAGCCGCGGUAAGACGGAGGGCGCAAGCGUUGUUCGGAAUUACUGGGCGUAAAGCGCGGGCAGGCGGUCUGUUAAGUCUUUUGUGAAAACCCGGGGCUCAACCCCGUGGAAUGCAGAAGAUACUGGCAGACUAGAGACCAGUAGAGGCUAGCGGAAUUCCUGGUGUAGCGGUGGAAUGCGUAGAUAUCAGGAAGAACACCUGUGGCGAAGGCGGCUAGCUGGGCUGGAUCUGACGCUCAUCCGCGAAAGCGUGGGGAGCAAAC